AGUGAACGCUGGCGGUAGGCUUAACACAUGCAAGUCGAACGGCAGCACAGUAAGAGCUUGCUCUUACGGGUGGCGAGUGGCGGACGGGUGAGGAAUACAUCGGAAUCUACUUUUUCGUGGGGGAUAACGUAGGGAAACUUACGCUAAUACCGCAUACGACCUACGGUUGAAAGCAGGGGAUCUUCGGACCUUGCGCGAUUGAAUGAGCCGAUGUCGGAUUAGCUAGUUGGCGGGGUAAAGGCCCACCAAGGCGACGAUCCGUAGCUGGUCUGAGAGGAUGAUCUGCCACUCUGGAACUUGGCCUCGGUCCAGCGUCCGACGGGAGGCAGCAGUGGGGAAUAUUGGACAAUGGGCGCCAGCCUGCUCCAGCCAUACCGCGUGUGUGAUGAAGGCCUUCGGGUUGUAAAGCCCUUUUGUUGGGAAAGAAAAGCAGCAGGUUAAUACCCCGCUGUUCUGACGGUACCCAAAGAAUAAGCACCGGCUAACUUCGUG
This 492-nucleotide ribosomal RNA is filed under the name uncultured bacterium. RNAcentral describes it as "partial 16S ribosomal RNA". It matches the Rfam family "Bacterial small subunit ribosomal RNA", at positions 29 to 507 of the family's 1533-position model. The record is from RNAcentral.